GAUGAACGCUGGCGCGGUGCCUAAUACAUGCAAGUCGAGCGAGCUUGGCCUAGAUGAUUUUAGUGCUUGCACUAAAUGAAACUAGAUACAAGCGAGCGGCGGACGGGUGAGUAACACGUGGGUAACCUGCCCAAGAGACUGGGAUAACACCUGGAAACAGAUACUAAUACCGGAUAACAACACUAGACGCAUGUCUAGAGUUGGAAAGAUGGUUCUGCUAUCACUCUUGGAUGGACCUGCGGUGUAUUAGCUAGUUGGUGGGGUAAGGGCCUACCAAGGCUACGAUGCAUAUCCGAGCUGAGAGGCUGAUCGGACACACUGGGACUGAGACACGGCCCAG
RNAcentral lists this ribosomal RNA (340 nucleotides) under uncultured bacterium. RNAcentral's name for it is "bacterial SSU rRNA". It matches the Rfam family "Bacterial small subunit ribosomal RNA", at positions 28 to 334 of the family's 1533-position model. The record is from RNAcentral.